GCCCAAACGAAAGGUGAAGAGGUCCACUUACCUUCACGACUUCGUUUGAAGAAAACUGCCAAAACAGAAGCUUCUGCAAAUCCUUCCCAGAUCGCCUUGCUUGGAAUUGUGAUCCUGCUGAGCAAUUCUUAUCAAUAAAACGGUUAUUGUAAUAUUCCUAGGAUUAUUACAUAUUAGGAAUUCUAUAAAAACCAUGUAAUAACAAACAAAGGCAAUAAGAAAAUUACAAGCUUCUUCUUUCUUCUUUCGUGCUCUGCUCCUUCCUCAUUUCUGGAGGUGUAGACCUCGAAUUCUAGCUCUUGAUACUUUGCACCUAACAAAUUCGGACACAGAGGUAUCAAUCACUACUUCGGACACAGGUUGCAGAGUUUUGUCAGAUAACUUCCUUCAUUCAGGUGUAUAAGCUAGAACCUUUAAGUGACAAAAAAUCUUUGGAAUUGUUAUGAUGUGGAAAGGCAUUUUUUUCGGGUUUUGGUGGAUGCUGUACAAAAGAAUAUGAAGACGUAGGUCUUGAAAUGGUUAGAAAGUGUGAACGUUUACCUCUAGCAAUUGUUGCAUUGGUGGUCUUUUAUAUAGCAAAUGUCAAAGUGCACUUGAAUGGACAGGUUUAGUCAAAAUCUAUGUUCGGAGUUGAAGAGGAAUUCUGAGUUAAUUAGUAUUUAAAAAGAAAAAUUGGUUUGAGUUAUGAUGAUUUUCUGUUCAAUCUCAGAUCAUGUUUAUUGUAUUUUAGAAUGUAUCCGGAAGACUAUGAAGUUAAAUCUGGAAGAUUGAUUACGCAGUGGAUAGCUGAAGGGUUUGUCAAACAUGAAAAUGGAAGAACUUUAGAAGAAGUUGCACAACAACAUUUAAUGGAGUUGAUCACUACAAGUUUGGUGCAAGUAUCUUCAUUUACUAUAGAUGACAAAGUUAAAGGAUGUCGUGUUCAUGACUUAAUACAUGAAAUGAUCCUUGGAAAUAUCAAGGAUACAUGGUUUUGUCUGUAUAUUGAUGAGCAUAAUCAAUUGGUGUCAAGUGCGAUCGUUAGACGCUUAACAAUAGGAUCAGAUUCCAAUGAUUUAAUUGAAAAUACUGAAAGAUCACGCAUUCGGUCAGUUCUAAUUUUCACAAAGCAAAAGUUACCCGAAUACUUAAUCAGUGGAAUACUUGAAAAAUACAUACCAUUGAAGGUACUUGAUUUUGAAGAUGCUAUACUAUAUCAUCUUCCUGAAAAUUGGGGGGGAUUUAAUCCACUUGAAGUAUCUGAGCUUCAUGGUAUACACAGAUAGAAAGUCUUCCAAAAUCCAUUGGUAAGCUCCAGAACUUGGAGACCUUGGAUGUAAGACAAACAAAAGUGUUUCAGAUACCAAAGGAGAUUAGCAAGCUUUUAAAGCUACGUCAUCUUCUGGCUAACGAAAUAUCUUCAAUUGCAGUGAAGGAUAGUAUUGGAGGCAUGACAUCUCUACAAAAAAUAUGCCUUCUGUAAGGAUUAUAGCGACUAAGGUCAAGAGAAUUCCUCUUUCGCCUACAGUGUUCAAUUAUUCUAUAAAUUAUUACACCUUUUAAUUUUAAAAAUUUGUAAAGUAAAGCCGAGACUCAUAUAUUUGCUUCCAUAUACUCCUUUCAUUCUCUUCCAAGUAAAUUAAACUAACAAUUUCCUUUUGAUGUUGGAAAGGGGAACCAUUUAUACAAACUUGGAAGAAUUCACUAUCAACUUCACUCAACUCCAACAGCUUAGUAAGGUGUGCAAGGGAAAUAAUGGAAAAUUUACUUGGUUUGCAACUGUUUGAAGUUUGAAGAACUAGGCUUUUUCGAAAAGGGUUAUAAUUAUAAUUUUCCACCAGUCCUAAGCCCUGACUAUGUCUCCAUUUUACUUCAAAUUGCUUGUGGUUGAUGCGUUCAAAUUGCUUGAUGAGUUCUUCACAAGUCCUAAGCACCUCUACUUGGUUGAUGCUCGAAUCCGUGGAUGCAAGUGAUGAUAUAUGUGGUUGCAUGUUGAUUUUGGAGGAUCCGUUCGCAUGCACGGAGAAAUUUGGCCCUGUUCUGAUUUUUGGUGUUUUGAUCUGAUCUUGGAUGCAUCUUGUGUUAUUAAAAAGGAUAUUUGGUUGAAGGAAAUGUGAUGUCUAUAUCAUUGUGAAGCUUAAAUGGAGGAGAAUAAAAAAUAUGACGAAAUUACAAGCGGAUUAGGGAGAGUUAUAUAUCUUAGUACUUCAAGGAUGGGACCCAGCCAUUCACAUUAGGUGAGUUAUAUAUCUUAGUACUUCAAGGAUGGGACCCAGCCAUUCACAUUAGGGAAACAAGUUGGUGGAUUCAACAUUAGGAAAAGAAGUUGGGAAUGGAGAACAUCUAACUUUCAUCAAUGCUUCCAUCCGAAAAUUACCACACUCCACGUAAUCUACCACCUAUGCUCAAUAACUUGGGGUAUUCAUGAGUGUAAUUGCUGCCUAGAUUAUUUUAACUUUUGAGUUCAGGUUUUGAUCAUCAAGGCUGGUGGACACUGCAGUGAGGAACAAUUCAUUUGAUGAGAUGUUCUUGCUGGUGGGAUUGGUACUCUAGAUGAGGUGUUUAAGAUACAGGCAUGCACUGAUUCAGCUUGAAUGGAUUGGACCAGAGCUCUUUGUGUUCUCUUCUAGAAGAAGUGUUUGAGAUACAGGCACUGAUUCAGCUUGAAAUGAAUUGGAGUAUGCUUUAUUUCUCUUUGUCUACAUCACACUGAUAGGUGUUAGACAUAAAAUUAUGGCUAAAUUACUAUGUUGGUCUUGUAUCUCUAUUUUAUAUUGUAAUUUAAGCUUCUAUUUGUUAAAAGUUACAAAAUGAUAUUUUAUUUAUUAAAAGCUGUAAAAUGGUUUCUUACAUAAUUUAUUUAUUGUAUCUUUACUUCUGAAGUAAUGUCUUUUUCAGUUGUUUUGGAUAAAUAAAAAAUAAUUAUUUUAAGUUAUAACUAAUA
Molecule: long non-coding RNA, 2923 nt
Organism: Glycine soja
Lineage: Eukaryota; Viridiplantae; Streptophyta; Magnoliopsida; Fabales; Fabaceae
Exons: 3
Source: RefSeq, a predicted model, not a curated record